Molecule: ribosomal RNA, 1925 nt
Filed under: Liothrips reuteri
Lineage: Eukaryota; Metazoa; Arthropoda; Insecta; Thysanoptera; Phlaeothripidae
Description: SSU rRNA
Rfam family: Eukaryotic small subunit ribosomal RNA
Source: RNAcentral
GUAGUGCAAGCCGAACUAAGGCGAAACCGCGAAAGGCUCAUUACAUCAGUUGUGGUUCCUUGGACUGUACCCAGUUACUUGGAUAACUGCGGAAAAUCUGGAGCUAAUACAUGCCGACAGAGUCCCGACCAGAGAUGGGAGGGACGCUUUUAUUAGAUCAAAACCAAAUAUUCCCUCCGGGGAAAACGGUUUAAGGUGACUCUGAAUAACUUUGUGCUGAUCGCACGGCCUUCGCGCCGGCGACGCGUCUUUCAAAUGUCUGCCUUAUCAACUUUCGAUGGUAGGCUCUGCGCCUACCAUGGUUGUAACGGGUGACGGGGAAUCAGGGUUCGAUUCCGGAGAGGGAGCCUGAGAAACGGCUACCACAUCCAAGGAAGGCAGCAGGCGCGCAAAUUACCCACUCCCGGCUCGGGGAGGUAGUGACGAAAGAUAACGAUGCAGGACUCUUAUGAGGCCCUGUAAUCGGAAUGACUACAAUUUAAAUCUCUUAAGGAGUAUCAAUUGGAGGGCAAGUCUGGUGCCAGCAGCCGCGGUAAUUCCAGCUCCAAUAGCGUAUAUUAAAGCUGUUGCGGUUAAAAAGCUCGUAGUUGGAUCUGUGCCCUGCACCGCCGGUCCCCGCUCUGCGGUGCGACUGGCAGGUCUGUGGGGCGUCCUGCCGGUGGGAGGUCUUGCCGGCGGCGUUCUCCCCCGCGCACCGGCAGUCGCUCGACGCCCGUUCGGUUCCAUCUGGUUCUCGUUCGGUGUCGCCGGGCCUGCCAACGCGUGGUGGCGAGACGCCGAUGCGUGCGCUCCCGGUUAUCCGAUCCUGCCGAAGGUGCUCUUUACCGAGUGUCGAGGCGGGCCGGCAUUUUUACUUUGAACAAAUUAGAGUGCUUAAAGCAGGCUGGUGUGGCCUGAAUGCUGUGUGCAUGGAAUAAUGGAAUAGGACCUCGGUUCUAUUUUCUUUUGGUUUUCUGAACCAGAGGUAAUGAUUAACGGAGACAGGCGGGGGCAUUCGUAUUGCGACGUUAGAGGUGAAAUUCUUGGAUCGUCGCAAGACGAACAGAAGCGAAAGCAUUUGCCAAGGAUGUUCUCGUUGAUCAAGAACGAAAGUCAGAGGUUCGAAGGCGAUCAGAUACCGCCCUAAUUCUGACCGUAAACGCUGCCAUCUGGUUAUUCGCCCACGCUAAAACCAAUAUGGCUGGGCGAGCAACCCUCGGGAAACCAAAGAUUUUGGGUUCCGGGGGAAGUAUGGUUGCAAAGCUGAAACUUAAAGGAAUUGACGGAAGGGCACCACCAGGAGUGGAGCCUGCGGCUUAAUUUGACUCAACACGGGAAACCUCACCAGGCCCGGACACUGGAAGGAUUGACAGAUUGAUAGCUCUUUCUUGAUUCAGUGGGUGGUGGUGCAUGGCCGUUCUUAGUUGGUGGAGCGAUUUGUCUGGUUAAUUCCGAUAACGAACGAGACUCUAGCCUGCUAACUAGUCGAUGAUUUCAAUCCGGCAUCCUCUUACGGCUGCCGGCGAAAACAACUCUUCUUAGAGGGACAGGCGGCUUCCAGCCGCACGAGAUUGAGCAAUAACAGGUCUGUGAUGCCCUUAGAUGUUCUGGGCCGCACGCGCGCUACAAUGAAGGUAUCAACGUGUGCCCCUUGGCCGAGAGGCCCGGGUAACCCGCUGAACCACCUUCGUGCUUGGGACUGGGGCUUGAAAUUGUUCCCCACGAACGAGGAAUUCCCAGUAAAGGCGUGUCACUAGCACGCCUUGAUUACGUCCCUGCCCUUUGUACACACCGCCCGUCGCUACUACCGAUUGAAUGAAUUAGUGAGGUCUUCGGACCAGCGCGCGGUUCUCGUCCCUCGGGACCCCCGUCGCUGCAGGGAAGAUGAUCGAACUUGUUCAUUUAGAGGAAGUAAAAGUCGUAACAAGGUUUCCGUAGGUGAACCU